Molecule: small nucleolar RNA, 54 nt
Filed under: Methanofollis sp. W23
Lineage: Archaea; Methanobacteriati; Methanobacteriota; Methanomicrobia; Methanomicrobiales; Methanomicrobiaceae
Description: C/D box small nucleolar RNA
Rfam family: Pyrococcus C/D box small nucleolar RNA
About the family: Computational screens have identified C/D box snoRNAs in a number of archaeal genomes. This family represents several related snoRNAs from Pyrococcus.
Source: RNAcentral
GCAGAUGAUGAGAGUUACCCCCUCUGAUUGAUGAUGAUUGCAGGGUUCUGAUGC